AUUGAACGCUGGCGGCAGGCCUAACACAUGCAAGUCGAACGGUAACAGGAAGAAGCUUGCUUCUUUGCUGACGAGUGGCGGACGGGUGAGUAAUGUCUGGGAAACUGCCUGAUGGAGGGGGAUAACUACUGGAAACGGUAGCUAAUACCGCAUAACGUCGCAAGACCAAAGAGGGGGACCUUCGGGCCUCUUGCCAUCGGAUGUGCCCAGAUGGGAUUAGCUAGUAGGUGGGGUAACGGCUCACCUAGGCGACGAUCCCUAGCUGGUCUGAGAGGAUGACCAGCCACACUGGAACUGAGACACGGUCCAGACUCCUACGGGAGGCAGCAGUGGGGAAUAUUGCACAAUGGGCGCAAGCCUGGUGCAGCCAUGCCGCGUGUAUGAAGAAGGCCUUCGGGUUGUAAAGUACUUUCAGCGGGGAGGAAGGGAGUAAAGUUAAUACCUUUGCUCAUUGACGUACCCGCAGAA
RNAcentral lists this ribosomal RNA (468 nucleotides) under Escherichia coli. RNAcentral's name for it is "bacterial SSU rRNA". It matches the Rfam family "Bacterial small subunit ribosomal RNA", at positions 30 to 486 of the family's 1533-position model. Lineage: Bacteria; Pseudomonadati; Pseudomonadota; Gammaproteobacteria; Enterobacterales; Enterobacteriaceae. The record is from RNAcentral.